RNAcentral lists this small nuclear RNA (23 nucleotides) under Arabidopsis thaliana (thale cress). RNAcentral's name for it is "snRNA_01645". Lineage: Eukaryota; Viridiplantae; Streptophyta; Magnoliopsida; Brassicales; Brassicaceae. The record is from RNAcentral.
UUUUAAAUGGGUUACUAUGAAGU